CCAAUAGCGUAUAUUAAAGUUGUUGCAGUUAAAAAGCUCGUAGUUGAACCUCGGGGUCUACCCAUUGGUCAGGCUCAAUUGUCUGCACUGGUGAGAUGGAUCUCUACCUUCUGAGGAACUUUCAUGCCAUUUAUUUGGUGUGAUGGGAAAUCAGGACUGUUACUUUGAAAAAAUUAGAGUGUUUAAAGCAGACUAUCGUCUGAAUACAUUAGCAUGGAAUAAUGAAAUAGGACGGACUGAUUCCAUUUCGUUGGUUUCUAGGAUCACCGUAAUGAUUAAUAGGGAUAGUUGGGGGCAUUAGUAUUCAAUUGUCAGAGGUGAAAUUCUUGGAUUUAUUGAAGACUAACUACUGCGAAAGCAUUUGCCAAGGAUGUUUUCAUUAAUCAAGAACGAAAGUUAGGGGAUCGAAGACGAUCAGAUACCGUCGUAGUCUUAACCAUAAACUAUGCCGACUAGGGAUCGGAUGAUGUUAAUUUUUUAAUGACUCAUUCGGCGCCUUACG
This 502-nucleotide ribosomal RNA is filed under the name uncultured Glomeromycotina. Its description in RNAcentral is "partial small subunit ribosomal RNA". It matches the Rfam family "Eukaryotic small subunit ribosomal RNA", at positions 591 to 1092 of the family's 1831-position model. The record is from RNAcentral. Lineage: Eukaryota; Fungi; Glomeromycota.